AGUGAACGCUGGCGGUAGGCCUAACACAUGCAAGUCGAACGGCAGCACAGGAGAGCUUGCUCUCUGGGUGGCGAGUGGCGGACGGGUGAGGAAUACAUCGGAAUCUACUUUUUCGUGGGGGAUAACGUAGGGAAACUUACGCUAAUACCGCAUACGACCUACGGGUGAAAGCAGGGGACCCUCGGCCCUUGCGCGAUUGAAUGAGCCGAUGUCGGAUUAGCCAGUUGGCGGGGUAAAGGCCCCCCAAGGCGACGAUCCGUAGCUGGUCUGAGGGGAUGAUCAGCCACACUGGAACUGAGACACGGUCCAGACUCCUACGGGAGGCAGCAGUGGGGAAUAUUGGACAAUGGGCGCAAGCCUGAUCCAGCCAUACCGCGUGGGUGAAGAAGGCCUUCGGGUUGUAAAGCCCUUUUGUUGGGAAAGAAAUCCAGCUGGCUAAUACCCGGUUGGGAUGACGGUACCCAAAGAAUAAGCACCGGCUAACUUCGUGCCAGCCGCCGCCGUAA
This 506-nucleotide ribosomal RNA is filed under the name uncultured bacterium. Its description in RNAcentral is "partial 16S ribosomal RNA". It matches the Rfam family "Bacterial small subunit ribosomal RNA", at positions 29 to 523 of the family's 1533-position model. The record is from RNAcentral.